AGAGCGAACGCUGGCGGCAUGCUUAACACAUGCAAGUCGCACGGGCACUUCGGUGUCAGUGGCGGACGGGUGAGUAACGCGUAGGUAUCUAUCCUUGGGUGGGGGACAACUGUGGGAAACUACAGCUAAUACCGCAUGAUAACUGAGGUUUAAAGGCGCAAGUCGCCUGGGGAGGAGCCUGCGUACGAUUAGCUUGUUGGUGGGGUAAAGGCCUACCAAGGCGACGAUCGUUAGCUGGUCUGAGAGGAUGAUCAGCCACAUUGGGACUGAGACACGGCCCAAACUCCUACGGGAGGCAGCAGUGGGGAAUAUUGGACAAUGGGCGAAAGCCUGAUCCAGCAAUGCCGCGUGUGUGAAGAAGGUCUUCGGAUUGUAAAGCACUUUCGACGGGGACGAUGAUGACGGUACCCGUAGAAGAAGCCCCGGCUAACUUCGUGCCAGCAGCCGC
Molecule: ribosomal RNA, 448 nt
Filed under: uncultured bacterium
Lineage: Bacteria
Description: SSU rRNA
Rfam family: Bacterial small subunit ribosomal RNA
Source: RNAcentral